RNAcentral lists this unclassified non-coding RNA (249 nucleotides) under Hevea brasiliensis (rubber tree). The record is from RNAcentral. Lineage: Eukaryota; Viridiplantae; Streptophyta; Magnoliopsida; Malpighiales; Euphorbiaceae.
CUCAUUUAACACCACACCCGAGCGUCGGCAUGGCGCGUCUCUUUCGGUGAACACCCUACACCAUUGCAUAUUUCUUACUACACCCAGGCCAUUAUCCUAACAAUAACAUUGUUGCAUCAGUGAGUACAAGAAUGAUAACCUCAAAACAGAAAAAUCACAUACUUAUACACAUGGAUUCUGGAGAGAUACUAAAAAUUUAGAUAUUCUUUAGUUAAAGGUGAUAAUUAACCAAAGAAGUGGGACUGUCCU